UGACUUUAAGUGAACACCGUGCAAACCUG
Molecule: non-coding RNA, 29 nt
Filed under: Bombyx mori (domestic silkworm)
Lineage: Eukaryota; Metazoa; Arthropoda; Insecta; Lepidoptera; Bombycidae
Source: RNAcentral